This 286-nucleotide long non-coding RNA is filed under the name Setaria viridis. Its description in RNAcentral is "long non-coding RNA (SVIR_LNC000274)". Lineage: Eukaryota; Viridiplantae; Streptophyta; Magnoliopsida; Poales; Poaceae. The record is from RNAcentral.
GGUAACCAGUUAGUAGUUUUAUCUUGUUCUUGGAGUUUUUGCCAACGUUACCAGUUAGCAUAGUAACCUAAAAACACGGUGCAAAGGAUCCAACACUCACUUGAGUAGGAGUACUCGGUAAUAGCAGAAGUUAGCCGGUGGAAUCAAUGUAAAUGUGGCGAUCAACAUCAAGUCACAUCAGUCGCCCAGCCCAUUUUCACGUACACAUCUAGUACUCACUUACUGCUGAAGCGGCACAUCUACACAAGCGACUUAAAACCAAAUGCGCAUCUACACACAAGAAGAG